GGGGAGGUAGCUCAAUGAAGAGCCGUCCGCUUCAACGGAUGCCUUGGGUUCGAAUCCCAACCUCCCCGCAA
This 71-nucleotide transfer RNA is filed under the name bacterium. Its description in RNAcentral is "tRNA-OTHER". It matches the Rfam family "tRNA". From Rfam's summary of the family: Transfer RNA (tRNA) molecules are approximately 80 nucleotides in length. Their secondary structure includes four short double-helical elements and three loops (D, anti-codon, and T loops). The record is from RNAcentral.